GCUAGGGGGUCAUCCCGACUUACCAACCCUUUGCAAACUCCGAAUACCAGUAAGUACUAUCCGGGAGACACACGGCGGGUGCUAACGUCCGUCGUGGAGAGGGAAACAACCCAGACCGCCAGCUAAGGUCCCAAAUUACUACUAAGUGGGAAACGAUGUGGGAAGGCUCAGACAGCCAGGAUGUUGGCUUAGAAGCAGCCAUCAUUUAAAGAAAGCGUAAUAGCUCACUGGUCGAGUCGGCCUGCGCGGAAGAUGUAACGGGGCUAAGUAGUAAACCGAAGCUGCGGCAAUGUGCUUUUGCACAUUGGGUAGGGGAGCGUUCUGUAAGCGGU
This 332-nucleotide ribosomal RNA is filed under the name Vibrio parahaemolyticus. RNAcentral's name for it is "partial 23S ribosomal RNA". It matches the Rfam family "Bacterial large subunit ribosomal RNA", at positions 918 to 1251 of the family's 2925-position model. The record is from RNAcentral. Lineage: Bacteria; Pseudomonadati; Pseudomonadota; Gammaproteobacteria; Vibrionales; Vibrionaceae.